This 453-nucleotide ribosomal RNA is filed under the name uncultured Porphyromonadaceae bacterium. Its description in RNAcentral is "partial 16S ribosomal RNA". It matches the Rfam family "Bacterial small subunit ribosomal RNA", at positions 341 to 792 of the family's 1533-position model. Lineage: Bacteria; Pseudomonadati; Bacteroidota; Bacteroidia; Bacteroidales; Porphyromonadaceae. The record is from RNAcentral.
ACGGAAGGCAGCAGUGAGGAAUAUUGGUCAAUGGGCGGAAGCCUGAACCAGCCAUGUCGCGUGCAGGACUACGGCCCUACGGGUCUUAACUGCUUUUGAUUGGGGAUAAAGUGGGGGACGCGUCCCCUAUUGCAGGUACCAAUCGAAUAAGGAUCGGCUAACUCCGUGCCAGCAGCCGCGGUAAUACGGAGGAUCCGAGCGUUAUCCGGAUUUAUUGGGUUUAAAGGGUGCGUAGGCGGGCUGUUAAGUCAGCGGUGAAACCCCCGGGCUCAACCCGGGGACUGCCAUUGAAACUGGCGGCCUAGAGUACGUUGGGAGUGCGCGGAAUGUGUGGUGUAGCGGUGAAAUGCAUAGAUAUCACACAGAACACCGAUCGCGAAGGCAGCGCACUACGCCGCAACUGACGCUGAGGCACGAAGGCGCGGGGAUCGAACAGGAUUAGAUACCCUGGUA